GCGGGAGGAGGGCGCGGCCGCGGAGGCAGAGCGCCGGGCGCCUAUGGAGGGCAGGGCAGCCGCGCUGGCAGGCCCGGCCAGCCCGUGUGAGGGCAUCGCCGUCCUGCCGCUUCCCCCGCGCCUGCCUAUUGCCAUCUGCCAUUCAUGGAAGAACCGCGGACCUGGUCCAAGUGACUGCUGCAUAGGGAGCAGGGCCGACCGAGGGGGCCACCCCAUCCCCUUGGGGUGCCCGGCGCGGGACUGUAGGGCAUAGUCGCAACUCCACCGCGGCGCGGGGCAGGGAGGCCAGCAGGGCCCGCUGGGAGGGCAGGAGCUGCUGCGGGGCUGUACAAGUCGCCGCGGACCAGGGAUUGCUGCAGCUGGGAGGUUGCAACAGCAGAACUGACCAGGCGCGAGCUCAAAAUGUCCAUCUGCAUCCUCGGCUUCAGCUGCUGCAGACCGAAAAUCGGAUCUCCUCAUCUGAUCCCUGUUCUGGGCCAAUUUUCUGACCGAUCCUGCCAUGGCGCACAUGACAGACACCCCUGUCCGGAACAGGAAUGUUGGAGUUUUCACGGGUGUAGCUGGCAGUGUGCCACUACUGGCCUUUAUUAGGGUGUCCUGCUCUGACUCUCCUACAGUCAAAAGGGAAAAGGACAAGUCAUCAGGGUGCUUUUCCCUCCUCAGACAUCUUGCUCUUUUCUUUUUUGACCACUCUUUAUGUGGGAGAACAUUUAUUUCUAUCUUGGACAUUGGACCUUGUCUCUCAAGGUAUUAAUUACCUAACUAUUCAGAUAAAUGUGGUUUUUUUAAAGAUCAUUUAGGUAUCUGUGAAGACCUUACUGAAUACCCACGCACAUAUUUAGGCACAUAAUCAAUUUUAAAAAUCAAUGGAUUCGUUUCUAUUAAACCAGCCCCCCCUCCAAUAACUGAUCUGUUUCUGUGUUUUUAUGCCAUCUGCAUUUUUGACAACUGAAUAUUUUUGACAGCAUGGUCCAUUGUGCCCAAGUUCACAUCAUUUUUUUUUCCUCUCUUUUUUUUAAAACAUCAUAUGACUACAUAUGUAAUAAGAAAAUGGGUUAUAUCACACAUUUUGCUUUACAGAUUUGGGUUCACAGUGGAUUUUUUGAACUGACAAAAAUUGUACAAGAAGUAUUUCUAUUAUAAGAGUGCAUUUAUUUU
This 1158-nucleotide long non-coding RNA is filed under the name Serinus canaria (Common canary). RNAcentral describes it as "lncRNA (ENSSCAG00000011503.1)". The record is from RNAcentral. Lineage: Eukaryota; Metazoa; Chordata; Aves; Passeriformes; Fringillidae.